This 173-nucleotide ribosomal RNA is filed under the name Candidatus Colousia faecequi. RNAcentral's name for it is "partial 23S ribosomal RNA". It matches the Rfam family "Bacterial large subunit ribosomal RNA", at positions 2741 to 2925 of the family's 2925-position model. Lineage: Bacteria; Pseudomonadati; Bacteroidota; Bacteroidia; Bacteroidales; Paludibacteraceae. The record is from RNAcentral.
CUGGGUAGCUAAGUCCGGUACGGAUAAGUGCUGAAAGCAUCUAAGCACGAAGCCGGCUCCGAGAUUAGAUCUCCGCAGAGGGUCGUCAGAGACGAUGACGUUGAUAGGCGGCAGGUGCAAGGUCAGCGAUGGCCUCAGCCGAGCCGUACUAAUUGCCCGAUAGCUUCUUUCAC